Molecule: ribosomal RNA, 380 nt
Filed under: uncultured eukaryote
Lineage: Eukaryota
Description: partial 18S ribosomal RNA
Rfam family: Eukaryotic small subunit ribosomal RNA
Source: RNAcentral
CAAUAGCGUAUAUUAAAGUUGUUGCAGUUAAAAAGCUCGUAGUUGGAUUUGUGGCGUACGGUGUGUUCCGGGCACUUGUUGUCUGAGUAACCUGCUGUUGCCAUCCUUGGGUGGAACCUGUGUGGCAUUAGGUUGUCGUGCAGGGGAUGCCCAUCAUUUACUGUGAAAAAAUUAGAGUGUUCAAAGCAGGCUUAUGCCGUUGAAUAUAUUAGCAUGGAAUAAUGAGAUAGGACUUUUUUGCUAUUUUGUUGGUUUGCGCAAAGAGGUAAUGAUUAAUAGGGACAGUUGGGGGUAUUCGUAUUCCAUAGUCAGAGGUGAAAUUCUUGGAUUUUUGGAAGACGAACUACUGCGAAAGCAUUUACCGAGGAUGUUUUCAUUAA